Molecule: long non-coding RNA, 857 nt
Organism: Hypomesus transpacificus
Lineage: Eukaryota; Metazoa; Chordata; Actinopteri; Osmeriformes; Osmeridae
Exons: 2
Source: RefSeq, a predicted model, not a curated record
UCGAGUAUAGGGGAGGACCUCGAAACCCUGUAGUUUAACAUUGACGUCACAGGAAGGCGGCUCCGUGGCGGCGGCACAGGUGUGCUUUUCUUCAGGUGUAAAGCGAGGAAAUGAGCGUCCUGCAAAACCAGUUAAACUCUUCCCUGCCGUUAUUCGAGUUCAGAUCUCGGCUUAGGUAUGGCACAGAACUGCGUGGGGAACUGUGCGCCGUUAUUUUUUCUUGCCAUUGCUUUUGAUUUGUGUGGUUUGGCUAUUCUUGUAGUUGGUAUUUUCGCCAAUCUGAAAUUAGACGGUCGGUUCUACGGGGAUUUCCUAAUCUACACGGGGUCUCUCAUCAUUUUUCUCAGUUUGAUUUGGUGGAUUAUGUGGUAUACUGGGAACGUAAAGGUUUCUUCCGACGAUUUGGAGAAAAGCACUUUGGAUAACUUUGCGCACUGGGCGAGGAAGUUUUCUGAGAGGCUCUCUAAGAGUGGAAUGAAAACUCUGGAAGCAGGUGAAAAGUGCAGGGGGAAUGGGAAUCUCAACGGAACUGUAGCCUUACGUUCUGCACCGCGAUACGAAACCUCAAUGACUGCUCACGACAACAGAGGUUACGAUAGAAGUGCUGACAGUCCACUCCCCCAAAAAACUGUUGAGUUGGACAUUUUGAAGUGCUCCGUGGUGGCCCAGCAGAAAAGCGGAAAAGCGGAAAGGCUUCUUUGAGUUGGAACUGAAGACACUUUGUUUGCAGAAGAGGCUUCUGGUUCAGGGACCAGCCCUGCAUGCUGCACCAUGCAUGCUGCACCAUGCAGGCGACACACAGAAGAACUCUCCAUUUAUCCGAUGUAAAUAGAAUAAAUCUUUAUUUUUUAAACGUC